Molecule: ribosomal RNA, 666 nt
Filed under: uncultured bacterium
Lineage: Bacteria
Description: bacterial SSU rRNA
Rfam family: Bacterial small subunit ribosomal RNA
Source: RNAcentral
GAGUUUGAUCCUGACUCAGAACGAACGCUGGCGGCGUGCCUAACACAUGCAAGUCCAACGUGAAAGGGGAGCAAUCCCCCGGUAGGGUGGCAAACGGGUGAGUAAUACAUGGGUGAUCUACCUUAGGGAUGGGGAUAUCCUUCCGAAAGGAGGGGCAAUACCGAAUAUUGUCCGGAGCCGUGAAGGGUUCCGGGGAAAGGGAGGCCUCUGAUACAAGCUUUCGCCUUAAGAUGAGCCCAUGGCCCAUCAGCUAGUUGGUAGGGUAAAGGCCUACCAAGGCUACGACGGGUCGCUGGUCUGAGAGGACGACCAGCCACACUGGCACUGAGAUACGGGCCAGACUCCUACGGGAGGCAGCAGUGAGGAAUAUUGCGCAAUGGGGGAAACCCUGACGCAGCAACGCCGCGUGUGGGAAGAAGGCCUUCGGGUCGUAAACCACUUUUGCACGGGACGAAAAAGGGAUAUCGAACAAAUAUCCCCGAUGACGGUACCGUGAGAAUAAGCCACGGCUAACUCUGUGCCAGCAGCCGCGGUAAGACAGAGGUGGCAAGCGUUGUUCGGAAUUACUGGGCGUAAAGAGUCUGUAGGUGGUUUGUCAAGUCUUUGGUGAAAGGCCGUAGCUUAACUACGGGAAUGCCAAAGAGACUGGCAGGCUGGAGGCUGGGA